AGUGAACGCUGGCGGUAGGCCUAACACAUGCAAGUCGAACGGCGGCACAGUAAGAGCUUGCUCUUACGGGUGGCGAGUGGCGGACGGGUGAGGAAUACAUCGGAAUCUACUUUUUCGUGGGGGAUAACGUAGGGAAACUUACGCUAAUACCGCGUACGACCUACGGGUGAAAGCAGGGGAUCUUCGGACCUUGCGCGAUUGAAUGAGCCGAUGUCGGAUUAGCUAGUUGGCGGGGUAAAGGCCCACCAAGGCGACGAUCCGUAGCUGGUCUGAGAGGAUGAUCAGCCACACUGGAACUGAGACACGGUCCAGACUCCUACGGGAGGCAGCAGUGGGGAAUAUUGGACAAUGGGCGCAAGCCUGAUCCAGCCAUACCGCGUGGGUGAAGAAGGCCUUCGGGUUGUAAAGCCCUUUUGUUGGGAAAGAAAAGCAGCAGGUUAAUACCCCGCUGUUCUGACGGUACCCAAAGAAUAAGCACCGGCUAACUUCGUG
Molecule: ribosomal RNA, 492 nt
Filed under: uncultured bacterium
Lineage: Bacteria
Description: partial 16S ribosomal RNA
Rfam family: Bacterial small subunit ribosomal RNA
Source: RNAcentral